GAUGAACGCUAGCGGCAGGCUUAAUACAUGCAAGUCGAGGGGCAGCACGGGUAGCAAUACCUGGUGGCGACCGGCAAACGGGUGCGGAACACGUACGCAACCUUCCCAUAACUGGUGAAUAGCCCUCCGAAAGGAGGAUUAAUACACCGUAACUUAACGAAGUGGCAUCACUUUGUUAAUAUAGGCUUCGGCCGGUUUUGGAUGGGCGUGCGCCUGAUUAGGUAGUUGGCGGGGUAACGGCCCACCAAGCCUGCGAUCAGUAACUGGUGUGAGAGCACGACCAGUCACACGGGCACUGAGACACGGGCCCGACUCCUACGGGAGGCAGCAGUAAGGAAUAUUGGUCAAUGGACGAAAGUCUGAACCAGCCAUGCCGCGUGAAGGAUUAAGGCCCUCUGGGUUGUAAACUUCUUUUCUUAGGGACGAUGAUGACGGUACUUAAGGAAUAAGCUCCGGCUAACUCCGUG
Molecule: ribosomal RNA, 467 nt
Filed under: uncultured bacterium
Lineage: Bacteria
Description: bacterial SSU rRNA
Rfam family: Bacterial small subunit ribosomal RNA
Source: RNAcentral